AGCUGCUCACAGAUGCAAUUCACCUCUGCUGCCGAAGUCCUACCCUGAGAGAAAAUCUAAGAAACUGAACUAUAAAACAUAUUUUCCACACAACUAAACAUAUUUUAGAGCAGUUUCUUAUAGAAGAGAGAACCGGGAAAGAAGCUGCUGACAUAUUCCUGUACUUGCUGUCUCAUUUCGCCUCUGUCCAGACCCAGUUCAUCAGAAAUGGACAUUAUUCACCACGGUUCCUGGUGACAAGGACACGUGUGGCUUGCAGUCUUCGGGUCAGACAACACUUACUGGUUGGAGCUGUGGUCAUCUCCUGAUAGGCCUGCGAGAGAGAAACACCCAGACACAAAGGAACCCAUGGGGACGUGUGUGACUGGUUAUGGCUCCCUGCUGGGCCUGAGGACACAGGACAUGCUGACUCUGGCACAUGGAGAGGCCCUUGUCUCCUGUAACUAGUUAUCCGGGACAGUUGUGCUUGAGCUUCUUCAGAUUGGAAAGUUGAAGUUGGAUCAUGUGCACAGUGCCACAGGCUGUGAGUUACAAGCCCGGGAUUCAAACUCAGGAAGUCUAACUCCAAAGCACGCACUCUCGCCGCUUUCUGGCUUCCAAUACACCUUCACCACCACUCUUCCACAGA
This is a long non-coding RNA of Apodemus sylvaticus (European woodmouse), 628 nucleotides long. RefSeq lists it as uncharacterized. The transcript has 3 exons. The record is from RefSeq and is a predicted model, not a curated record. Lineage: Eukaryota; Metazoa; Chordata; Mammalia; Rodentia; Muridae.